AAUCGUCUGAGACAUGCGAUUACUGCCGU
This 29-nucleotide small RNA is filed under the name Bombyx mori (domestic silkworm). Its description in RNAcentral is "ovarian small RNA-10807". The record is from RNAcentral. Lineage: Eukaryota; Metazoa; Arthropoda; Insecta; Lepidoptera; Bombycidae.